This 786-nucleotide long non-coding RNA is filed under the name Mus musculus (house mouse). RNAcentral describes it as "long non-coding RNA chr11:53430571-53431357". Lineage: Eukaryota; Metazoa; Chordata; Mammalia; Rodentia; Muridae. The record is from RNAcentral.
GCAGCACGUUGGGGAUGCCUUUGCUGAAAUAGCUUGGGAAGGCGCGCUGCUCAAAGGGCGACAAGCUGUAGGAGAUCACGUGCCGUAUCCGCGCCAGGUUCCCAAACUCGCGGCCCAUGGUGACGGCGGCCCUGGGACAGAAGAUAGACGCGUGGCUCAGUCUCGCGAAAAACCUCCCACGGCCUAACACCGACCCCCAGGAUCGGUCACCUCUACCUCCAGAGCUCUGAGCCGGCUUUCGCCCGUCACUUCCGGGAGGAGCGGAAGCCGAGCCUAGAGAACGUGAAGUCAUUUCCGGGAACUACCAUUUUCUUUCGAUCUCAAGGGGGAGACUCAAAAAAAAAAUUGUCAGUUGACCUGAGUGGGCGUGGCCUGACCUUCGUGUAGCCGGAAAGGACCAGUACCAAGAGGGCUGGGCGGAGCUUAGAGGCGCUUCUAGCGACACGUGGGUGGGGCUUAUAGAGGUGCUUGUGGGCUUACGGUAAGUAGUGAACGCACGGGAGAGGUUGAUGUUGCCAAGGGGCGGGGCUUGAAGAGGAAUGGUGGCUUGGUGGGAGGGGUGCCAAGCAAGUGGGCGGGGCUUAUUAGCCACCCUGGGGAUCUUAGGUGGAUACGUCCGUAAGGUCCCCCGUCGAGAGGUGCACGGGGCGGGGCCUAUAGGUGCAUGGGGCGCGGAUUAGGGUGAUGGGCGUGGCUUAGGAGCACCUGGGUGUUCCAAGAGGCGGUCCUUUCCGCUCAGUACCAGGCCUUUGCAUAACAGCCGGCAGCUGCUCAAAAAUUAAAAAG